Molecule: transfer-messenger RNA, 351 nt
Filed under: Phycisphaerales
Lineage: Bacteria; Pseudomonadati; Planctomycetota; Phycisphaerae
Also listed under: 1 other name
Description: UBA966 sp018883105 Standard tmRNA
Rfam family: transfer-messenger RNA
About the family: Bacterial tmRNA, also known as 10Sa RNA or SsrA, is named for its dual tRNA and mRNA-like properties. Its role is to liberate the mRNA from a stalled ribosome.
Source: RNAcentral
GGGGCCGUACCGGCAUCGACCGGACAGGCAACGCACGGCGUGGCGCGUCGUGGAGCAUGCAGGCCACGUUAAACAGCAUGCACACUCACAACUGCCAACACGCAGUACGCUCUCGCCGCCUAAUUAGGCAGCGCAGCGAGUCCCCCCACGCCUGACUAAGGGGGCCGCUGUCAAACAUCAGGCUGGGUCCGACGGGCUGACAUGCCCCGGAGGACCGAGAACUCGCAUGUCUUGGAACGGAGCGCCCCGCUGCGGGGAUACGCCCGGACGACAAUCGUUCCGCAGACACACUCGUAGAGGCGCCGUGCGGACUGUUUCGGCACAGGGGUUCGACUCCCCUCGGCUCCAUUU